GUGCCAGCCGCCGCGGUAAUACAGGGGCCCCAAGCGUUAAUCGGAAUUACUGGGCUUAAAGGGUGCGUAGGCGGUCCCGUAAGUGCUCUGUGAAAGCCCUCGGCUCAACCGAGGAACAGCAGGGCAUACUGCGGGACUUGAGGAAGGUAGAGGCCGUUGGAACGCUCGGUGGAGCGGUGGAAUGCGUAGAGAUCGAGCGGAACGCCAAAAGUGAAGACAGACGGCUGGGCCUUUCCUGACGCUGAGGCACGAAAGCGUGGGGAGCAAACCGGAUUAGAAACCCUUGUAGUCC
Molecule: ribosomal RNA, 292 nt
Filed under: uncultured bacterium
Lineage: Bacteria
Description: partial 16S ribosomal RNA
Rfam family: Bacterial small subunit ribosomal RNA
Source: RNAcentral